UGUCCUGUAGCUCAGUGGCAGAGUGCUUGCUUAGCAUGCAUGAGGCACUGGGUUUGAUCCUCAGCACCACAU
This 72-nucleotide transfer RNA is filed under the name Ictidomys tridecemlineatus (thirteen-lined ground squirrel). RNAcentral describes it as "Spermophilus tridecemlineatus (thirteen-lined ground squirrel) tRNA". It matches the Rfam family "tRNA". From Rfam's summary of the family: Transfer RNA (tRNA) molecules are approximately 80 nucleotides in length. Lineage: Eukaryota; Metazoa; Chordata; Mammalia; Rodentia; Sciuridae. The record is from Rfam by way of RNAcentral.